Molecule: non-coding RNA, 445 nt
Organism: Phascolarctos cinereus (koala)
Lineage: Eukaryota; Metazoa; Chordata; Mammalia; Diprotodontia; Phascolarctidae
Source: RefSeq, a predicted model, not a curated record
UCUGAGGAAAUCUAGUCCAAAAUAAGUGUUUUACAGUUGGGGAAUCUAAGACCUAAAAAGAUGAAAUGAUUUGUCCAAGAUCACACCGGUAGUAAGCAUCAGAAGUCUUGGAAAAUGGCAUCUACACUGAGCUAACUGCAUUGAUCUGCUUGAUUAGAGUUGGGAAAAAAGUGUUCCACUGCUAAAAUAAGACUACCCCCUCCAAUUCUUACCUUUCUUCUCACCCUCUCUCAAUGGUGGAAAAAGAAUCUUGGUUACUGAAGACUAAACUGGUACGGGAUAUUCAUGAAUCCAGAGGUUCUAACCUUGGCUGGGAACAUUUCGAAUUAUUGAUGCCCAAAGGAGUUCAAAGGACACAUUAGCUGCCUGGGAUCUAGGCAGCGAAUGAGGAAUCUCUUGCAUUUUCCUCACCUGUGACUGAGAUAUUGAAGAAUGACGCACUCAG